Molecule: ribosomal RNA, 519 nt
Filed under: uncultured bacterium
Lineage: Bacteria
Description: bacterial SSU rRNA
Rfam family: Bacterial small subunit ribosomal RNA
Source: RNAcentral
AGAACUUAGCAGAGAUGCUUUGGUGCCUUCGGGGAACUCUGAGACAGGUGCUGCAUGGCUGUCGUCAGCUCGUGUUGUGAAAUGCUGGGUUAAGUCCCGCAACGAGCGCAACCCUUAUCCCUUGUUGCCAGCGGUUAGGCCGGGAACUCAAAGGAGACUGCCAGUGAUAAACUGGAGGAAGGUGGGGAUGACGUCAAGUCAUCAUGGCCCUUACGAGUAGGGCCACACACGUGCUACAAUGGCGCAUACAAAGAGAAGCGACCUCGCGAGAGCAAGCGGACCUCAUAAAGUGCGUCGUAGUCCGGAUUGGAGUCUGCAACUCGACUCCAUGAAGUCGGAAUCGCUAGUAAUCGUGGAUCAGAAUGCCACGGUGAAUACGUUCCCGGGCCUUGUACACACCGCCCGUCACACCAUGGGAGUGGGUUGCAAAAGAAGUAGGUAGCUUAACCUUCGGGAGGGGCGCUUACCACUUUGUGAUUCAUGACUGGGGUGAAGUCGUAACAAGGUAAGCGUAGUGCU